UUGCAUGAAAACAGUAUUCUGCGGUAAUUUUUCCAUUUUUUUCAAGCAGUGCAUUAGCAAAGUGAAUGCAUGACUUUCUUUUACUGCAGAACUUGUCAGUGCCUUUAAUCUGAGGGAUGAGUCUUCAGGAGAGUUUGUUGUCAGGAUUUAACACUUACUCUUGGAAAAGCAGUAAUGUGUGCUGGAAAUGAACCGGGCAGACCCUGCUCCCAUCUCCAUCUGCCUCAAUCUCAGUGCCCUCCACUCCCCACCAGCAGCGCCUGUUACCAAGUCACUGCACAACAACCACAAAUGGAGAGUGGAGGAGCAUCACUUUCCACCCCGGGAUCAUGACGAGGGCUCUGUAACUUCAACAAAUGCGCAGAAGACGCCUGGCCUCGAGCUUGUGCAGCACCUCCGGAGCCUGCCUUCCCUUGUCACCCACGGCACCAUGACUUUGGAGGGUCUCAGCUCAGUCCUCCCUCCAGAGGGGCUGUCAGUGCUGGGCAGAAAAUCACCCUUCAACGACCGGGCCCAGCUGCGCUCUGUCAGAGAGCAGAGAAAGCAGGCCUCCGGGAGGUUCUCACUCCACCAAGGAGACGUCUCCACCCAGCGCUCAUCCUGAGCAAGGGCACUGGGAGGAAGAAAUGCAAUUUUAAAACCUGUGCUGCGAAUGAUGACUUCUGCUGCUUCCGUCUCUGGAGAGCUCUGGGCACUUAACAUCCUUCCACCCACAUGCCCGAGUCUGUGCAGAAACCUCACCCACGCGGAGGAGACUGCAUUUCCCAGUAGCAGAUUCAAGUCCUGAACUUCCUGUACCACAAAGUGUUACCCACACUGGUGGGUGCCAGCCUGAGACUCAACUAUCAGGAAAAACAUGAAGAAUUCAGUCCAUGCCCUCAAAUGCACCCAUGUGGCUCCCAAACGGCAAAUCUCAGCAAUGAGAUUCUCAGCUAGGAAAGUCCACACUGAACUCAUGCAGAGGACAAAGUACAUAGGCCUGGGGUUCUUGGCACCUGAGAUCUCUGAGCAGUUUUCUGAAUUUUCCUAUUUCCUGUUGAAGACAUAGGAACACGUGGCACAGAGGCACAGAGACCUGGAAACCAACAGGUGACCUCAGGGAGGUUUGUGAAGCACCCUGAUGAGAAGACAGUUGGGCAGACGUGGCUGGCUAUUCCCCAAGUCCAUUUUCCCUCCUGGGACCAGAGCUGACUCCAUUUCUCAAUCUGCCUUGCAGUGAGCAUAGUCAGCUUCCUGGCACUGCUGGACCUGUCUUGAAGGCUCUUUUGGCCGGAAAUGGAUGGGCAGGGAUCUGAGAGCACCUGCUAUCGGUUCCAACGUCGCACGGUGGGACUCUGGACAGGGUCCUCCCUCUCCAUCUUCCCCUCGCUGGGACCCAGCACGGCACAGGAGGGGCGGCCAACACCAUUUAGACAUCAGAACUGUCCAGAGUGUUCUGCCCUCUGUCUUAAGUCACGACCCCGGAUUCCCCAGGCAGCCACACACAGCGGUCUACACCGGGAGAAAGUCGCCGUGAGAACCGUGGCACCGCAGGAGGCUGUGCGUGUUUGCUUUUGUUGAUCUGUUUAACUGCAGCCCGAUUUAUGUUUCUGGAUCCUGGAAUUGAGUUGACACUAUCGGUAGUAUGAAAGUGACAGACACCAGGAUGAAGUCACUCUUGUCAGACCCAGAGGAAACAGGGUCAGGAGGCCUGGGGGAGGGGAGGACGCUGCUGCGUGUCUGAGAUCAGAGCUGUUUCCAAGGACUUUCUGAAGCCCCACAAGAAGGCCCUCUGCGUCCGUCGCGCAUCUCCGGCCUGGCGGGGCUUGCGUGGCUCACACGUACACGCAUUUCUACGGCCAGGGUUAUCUAUCACCAGACAUUCUUGAGGACUGCAGUGAUUCUGAUCAGAUGCUCUCAAAAGACCACUUCCCAGUGACAACACCUCCUUCAAGAAACCGACAGCAUUCUGGCUGUGGGUCCCUGGAACCAGUGAAC
Homo sapiens (human) is the source of this 1977-nucleotide long non-coding RNA. Ensembl annotates it as long intergenic non-protein coding RNA 1257. NCBI's taxonomy places the organism in Eukaryota, Metazoa, Chordata, Mammalia, Primates, Hominidae. The record is from Ensembl.